Small nucleolar RNA from Oryctolagus cuniculus (rabbit), 122 nucleotides. NCBI's taxonomy places the organism in Eukaryota, Metazoa, Chordata, Mammalia, Lagomorpha, Leporidae. The record is from Ensembl.
GUGCCCUCUUCCAGCUGGCGCGGUGCGCUAAGAUGGCUGACACAGAAGGCUAGGGUGCGUCUCCAUGUAACCCAGAGAAGAGACUGCACCCUCGCCUUCAGAGCCUGUCUGGAGUCACAGCU